This 253-nucleotide ribosomal RNA is filed under the name uncultured bacterium. RNAcentral describes it as "partial 16S ribosomal RNA". It matches the Rfam family "Bacterial small subunit ribosomal RNA", at positions 524 to 776 of the family's 1533-position model. The record is from RNAcentral.
UACGUAGGGGGCAAGCGUUGUCCGGAUUCAUUGGGCGGAAAGAGCGUGUAGGCGGCCAGGUAGGUCGGUUGUGAAAACUGGAGGCUCAACCUUCAGAGGUCGACCGAAACCAUCUGGCUAGAGUCCGGGAGAGGAGAGUGGAAUUCCUGGUGUAGCGGUGAAAUGCGCAGAUAUCAGGAAGAACACCCGUGGCGAAAGCGGCUCUCUGGAACGGUACUGACGCUGAGACGCGAAAGCGUGGGGAGCGGACGGG